GACGAACGCUGGCGGCGCGCCUAACACAUGCAAGUCGAACGAGCGAGAGAGAGCUUGCUUUCUCGAGCGAGUGGCGAACGGGUGAGUAACGCGUGAGGAACCUGCCUCAAAGAGGGGGACAACAGUUGGAAACGACUGCUAAUACCGCAUAAGCCCACGGCUCGGCAUCGAGCAGAGGGAAAAGGAGCAAUCCGCUUUGAGAUGGCCUCGCGUCCGAUUAGCUAGUUGGUGAGGUAACGGCCCACCAAGGCGACGAUCGGUAGCCGGACUGAGAGGUUGAACGGCCACAUUGGGACUGAGACACGGCCCAGACUCCUACGGGAGGCAGCAGUGGGGAAUAUUGCACAAUGGGGGAAACCCUGAUGCAGCGACGCCGCGUGGAGGAAGAAGGUCUUCGGAUUGUAAACUCCUGUUGUUGGGGAAGAUAAUGACGGUACCCAACAAGGAAGUGACGGCUAACUACGUGCCAGCAGCCGCGGUAAAACGUAGGUCACAAGCGUUGUCCGGAAUUACUGGGUGUAAAGGGAGCGCAGGCGGGAAGACAAGUUGGAAGUGAAAUCUAUGGGCUCAACCCAUAAACUGCUUUCAAAACUGUUUUUCUUGAGUAGUGCGGAGGUAGGCGGAAUUCCCGGUGUAGCGGUGGAAUGCGUAGAUAUCGGGAGGAACACCAGUGGCGAAGGCGGCCUACUGGGCACCAACUGACGCUGAGGCUCGAAAGUGUGGGUAGCAAACAGGAUUAGAUACCCUGGUAGUCCACACCGUAAACGAUGAUUACUAGGUGUUGGAGGAUUGACCCCUUCAGUGCCGCAGUUAACACAAUAAGUAAUCCACCUGGGGAGUACGACCGCAAGGUUGAAACUCAAAGGAAUUGACGGGGGCCCGCACAAGCAGUGGAGUAUGUGGUUUAAUUCGACGCAACGCGAAGAACCUUACCAAGUCUUGACAUCCCUUGACGAUGCUGGAAACAGUAUUUCUCUUCGGAGCAAGGAGACAGGUGGUGCAUGGUUGUCGUCAGCUCGUGUCGUGAGAUGUUGGGUUAAGUCCCGCAACGAGCGCAACCCUUAUGGUCAGUUACUACGCAAGAGGACUCUGGCCAGACUGCCGUUGACAAAACGGAGGAAGGUGGGGAUGACGUCAAAUCAUCAUGCCCUUUAUGACUUGGGCUACACACGUACUACAAUGGCGUUAAACAAAGAGAAGCAAGACCGCGAGGUGGAGCAAAACUCAGAAACAACGUCCCAGUUCGGACUGCAGGCUGCAACUCGCCUGCACGAAGUCGGAAUUGCUAGUAAUCGUGGAUCAGCAUGCCACGGUGAAUACGUUCCCGGGCCU
RNAcentral lists this ribosomal RNA (1332 nucleotides) under uncultured bacterium. RNAcentral describes it as "bacterial SSU rRNA". It matches the Rfam family "Bacterial small subunit ribosomal RNA", at positions 28 to 1381 of the family's 1533-position model. The record is from RNAcentral.